This 567-nucleotide long non-coding RNA is filed under the name Heterocephalus glaber (naked mole-rat). Its description in RNAcentral is "lncRNA (ENSHGLG00100037561.1)". The record is from RNAcentral. Lineage: Eukaryota; Metazoa; Chordata; Mammalia; Rodentia; Bathyergidae.
GCCAGGCAGCAGGCAGCGAGGCAGGAAGCCCGGGCGGGGAUCCCGGCCGGUGCUGGCCAGGCCCCUGUGGGUUCCUUUUUUAAAACAGAUUUUAUGUUUUAGAGGAGUUUUAAGUUUACAGCGGAAUGGAGUGGAAACUACAAAGUGAUCCUGUGAAGGCCGCCGCCUCCCGCAAGUCCCAGGGCCCUCAUCACCAACGUCCGCACCAGAGCAGCCCGAUUGUCAUCGCCGUGGACCUGCACGGACACAUGGGGGCCACAGGCGGCCUCGAGGUGCGCAGUGAUCCACUCGCUCUACGGCUUUGGAUGAUCACCCAGCACGAUAGCAUCGAACUGCCGUAAAGAUCCUCCUGUCGUGCUUAGCCUGAGACAAAGUGGCUGUGUGGCUGGGCAUCGCCACCAACGCUGGAAGCUGUGCAGCUCCCGCACACCCUGCAAACACUGGAGACGGGAGCUGGCGCUGUACCUGCACCCCAUCUGCCCUGGUGGACCAGAAUCCCAUAACCUCGGAUAUGUAAUUUUCAUUUUUCAUUAAGUUGAAAUAAAUGCACUAGUUAAAAUAAGUUAA